This 450-nucleotide ribosomal RNA is filed under the name uncultured bacterium. RNAcentral describes it as "partial 16S ribosomal RNA". It matches the Rfam family "Bacterial small subunit ribosomal RNA", at positions 354 to 796 of the family's 1533-position model. The record is from RNAcentral.
GUGGGGAAUCUUCCACAAUGGACGAAAGUCUGAUGGAGCAACGCCGCGUGAGUGAAGAAGGGUUUCGGCUCGUAAAGCUCUGUUGUCGGGGACGAAUGUGCAGUAUUUGAAUAAAGUAUUGCAAUGACGGUACCUGACGAGGAAGCCACGGCUAACUACGUGCCAGCAGCCGCGGUAAUACGUAGGUGGCAAGCGUUGUCCGGAAUUAUUGGGCGUAAAGGGAGCGCAGGCGGGAAGGUAAGUCGGUCUUAAAAGUGCGGGGCUCAACCCCGUGAUGGGAUCGAAACUAUCUUUCUUGAGUGCAGGAGAGGAAAGUGGAAUUCCUAGUGUAGCGGUGAAAUGCGUAGAUAUUAGGAGGAACACCAGUGGCGAAGGCGACUUUCUGGACCGUAACUGACGCUGAGGCUCGAAAGCCAGGGGAGCGAACGGGAUUAGAAACCCCAGUAGUCC